This 752-nucleotide long non-coding RNA is filed under the name Rattus norvegicus (Norway rat). Its description in RNAcentral is "long non-coding RNA NONRATT004336". Lineage: Eukaryota; Metazoa; Chordata; Mammalia; Rodentia; Muridae. The record is from RNAcentral.
UCCUCAGACUCAGGGCCAGCAGCUGCCCAGUCCACAUUGCCCACUGAGUCCACUUGGAAGACGAAAGGCUCACCAACAUGGACCACAGCGGGACCCCAGGUCCGAGCUCCCUGGUACACACUUUUGUUGUUGGAGUUAUUGGCAUUUGGGUCCCUAGCAGGGAUCCCACCAGGCAGUGUGAAGAGGAUUCCCUCUCCAUGGCUGGUCAUCUCUCGGACAGGAGAUGCACCCCGUGACCCUGUCUUCUUUACCCGGACUUCAAUGGUUUCCUCCACCUCUAACCACUUGGGCUGGGGCUGUGAGGCUGGAGUGUGGGCCUCAGCUUCUGUCACAUACAAUGCAGGCACUGGGGCCUUCCUGCCUUGUUCUACUUCAAGCCUCCGGGAUGGGCUGGUCCCUGGUGGGUACAGCAUCUCAGGGGCCAACAGCCCUGGCCUCCUCGGACUGGCAGACCGGCGGGAGGGUGAACGGGAGGGAGACUUGCUGGGGGACUGUCGUCGGCCACGAGGACUCUUCACUACGGUGGUGAUGGUCUCCUCUCUGGUAGGGGGAGAGGGCCCAAGAAGAGAUGGCCAAGAGACCCACAACCUCACCCAGCAUAGUGCCAUCCACAUGUGUCAGAGCCCAAGUUAGUGCAUGUGUCAGUGAGCAGAGGAUAAGACAGCACAAACUCCUGCCCAUGCACUUGAGGUCAACCUGCACUACCCUAGCUAAGAAAAUAAACCAGAAAAACCAAAGAAACAAAGCACAAA